UGGUCAAGUUAUUAAGGGUGCAGGGCGGAUGCCUUGGCACUAGGAGCCGAUGAAGGACGUGAUAAGCUGCGAUAAGCUUCGGGGAGUUGCACGUAAACUUUGAUCCGAAGAUUUCCGAAUGAGGAAACUCACUUAGAGUAAUGUCUAAGUAUCAUUAAGUGAAUACAUAGCUUAAUGAGGGGAACUCAGGGAACUGAAACAUCUAAGUACCUGAAGGAAGAGAAAGAAAUUCGAUUCCGUAAGUAGCGGCGAGCGAACGCGGAUUAGCCCAAACCAAUAAAGUUUUCUUUAUUGGGGUUGCGGACAUAUCAUAACGGAGAGGUAUCGUAAUUGAAGAGGUUUGGAAAGACCCACCACAGAAGGUAAUAGUCCUGUAUGUUAAACGAGAAGACUUUAGAUAUGAUCCAGAGUACCACGGGACACGUGAAACCCUGUGGGAAGCAGGAGGGACCACCCUCCAAGGCUAAAUACUACCUAGUGACCGAUAGCGUAUAGUACCGUGAGGGAAAGGUGAAAAGAACCCCGGGAGGGGAGUGAAAUAGAACCUGAAACCCUGCACUUACAAGCUGUGGAAGCACAUUUCUUGUGUGACCGCGUACUUUUUGUAGAACGGGCCAACGAGUUACGUUAAGUAGCAAGGUUAAGCACUUAAGGUGUGGAGCCGUAGCGAAAGCGAGUUUUAACUGAGCGUUCAGUUACUUGACGUAGACCCGAAACCGGGCGACCUACCCAUGAGCAGGAUGAAGCGAAAGUAAAAUUUCGUGGAGGUCCGAACCCACGAGCGUUGAAAAGCUCGGGGAUGACUUGUGGGUAGCGGUGAAAUUCCAAUCGAGCCCGGAGAUAGCUGGUUCUCCCCGAAAUAGCUUUAGGGCUAGCCUCAAGGUGAGAGAUACGGAGGUAGAGCACUGAAUGUCCUAGGGGGUAUUGCACCUACCGAAGACUAUCAAACUCCGAAUGCCGUCAUCUUAUACUUGGGAGUCAGACUGUGGGUGAUAAGAUUCAUAGUCGAAAGGGCAACAGCCCAGAUCGUCAGCUAAGGUCCCUAAAUGUAAGUUAAGUGGUAAAGGAUGUGGGAUUGCACAGACAACCAGGAUGUUGGCUUAGAAGCAGCCACUCAUUCAAAGAGUGCGUAAUAGCUCACUGGUCGAGUGAUCCUGCGCCGAAGAUUUCCGGGGCUAAAACUUACUACCGAAGCUACGGCAUCAGUAAUGAUGGGUAGGGGAGCUUCCCAUACGGGUUGAAGCAUGACCGUAAGGACAUGUGGACAGUAUGGGAGUGAGAAUGUUGGCAUGAGUAGCGAGAUGUGGGUGAGAAUCCCACAGGCCGUAAACCCAAGGUUUCCAGGGGAAGGUUCGUCCGCCCUGGGUUAGUCGGGACCUAAGCUGAGGCCGAAAGGCGUAGGUGAUGGACAACAGGUUGAUAUUCCUGUACUACCGAUAACCGUUUGAGAGAAGGGAUGACACAGUAGGAUAAGCUAAGCACACUGUUGGUUAUGUGUGCCCAAGCAUUGAGGCAGUCAAAGUAGGCAAAUCCGCUUUGAUAAUGCUGGGAUGUGAUGGGGAGCGAAAUUUAGUAGCGAAGUAGCUGAUUUCACACUGUCAAGAAAAGUCUCUAUCGAGGUUAAAGGUACCCGUACCGCAAACCGACACAGGUGGGUGAGGAGAGUAUCCUAAGGCCAGCGAGAGAACUGUUGUUAAGGAACUCGGCAAAAUGACCCCGUAACUUAGGGAUAAGGGGUGCCACCAUCAGGUGGCCGCAGAGAAUAGGCCCAAGCGACUGUUUACCAAAAACAUAGGUUUCUGCUAAGUCGCAAGACGAUGUAUAGGAGCUGACGCCUGCCCGGUGCUGGAAGGUUAAGGGGAUCUGUUAGAGCAAUCGAAGCAGUGAACUUAAGCCCCAGUAAACGGCGGCCGUAACUAUAACGGUCCUAAGGUAGCGAAAUUCCUUGUCGGGUAAGUUCCGACCCGCACGAAAGGCGUAACGAUUUGGGCACUGUCUCAACAACAGACUCGGUGAAAUUGUAAUUCCGGUGAAGAUGCCGGAUACCUGCGACAGGACGGAAAGACCCCAUGGAGCUUUACUGUAGCUUGACAUUGGGUCUUGGUACUACAUGUACAGGAUAGGUGGGAGGCUUUGAAACCAGGACGCCAGUUUUGGCGGAGCCAUCCUUGGGAUACCACCCUUGUAGUACUGGGACUCUAACCAUAGGCCAUGAAUCUGGUCUUGGGACACUGUCAGGUGGGCAGUUUGACUGGGGCGGUCGCCUCCCAAAAGGUAACGGAGGCGCUCAAAGGUUCUCUCAGUACGGUCGGAAAUCGUACGUAGAGUGUAAAGGCAAAAGAGAGCUUGAUUGCAAGACAUACAGGUCGAGCAAGGAUGAAAAUCGGACUUAGUGAUCCGGUGGUUCUGCGUGGAAGGGCCAUCGCUCAACGGAUAAAAGCUACCCUGGGGAUAACAGGCUUAUCUCCCCCAAGAGUCCACAUCGACGGGGAGGUUUGGCACCUCGAUGUCGGCUCAUCACAUCCUGGGGCUGUAGUAGGUCCCAAGGGUUGGGCUGUUCGCCCAUUAAAGUGGUACGCGAGCUGGGUUCAGAACGUCGUGAGACAGUUCGGUCCCUAUCCGUCGCAGGCGUAGGAAAUUUGAGAAGACCUGUCCUUAGUACGAGAGGACCGGGAUGGACGUACCUCUGGUGUACCAGUUGUCCUGCCAAGGGCAUGGCUGGGUAGCUAUGUACGGAAUGGAUAAGCGCUGAAAGCAUCUAAGCGCGAAGCCAACUUCAAGAUAAGAUUUCCCACCGCAAGGGUAAGACCCCAGAAAGACUAUCUGGUUGAUAGGUCGAAGGUGUAAGUGCAGCAAUGUAUUUAGCUUAUCGAUACUAAUAGGUCGAGGACUUGACCAAU
Molecule: ribosomal RNA, 2900 nt
Filed under: Clostridioides difficile
Lineage: Bacteria; Bacillati; Bacillota; Clostridia; Peptostreptococcales; Peptostreptococcaceae
Description: bacterial LSU rRNA
Rfam family: Bacterial large subunit ribosomal RNA
Source: RNAcentral